Molecule: ribosomal RNA, 301 nt
Filed under: uncultured bacterium
Lineage: Bacteria
Description: partial 16S ribosomal RNA
Rfam family: Bacterial small subunit ribosomal RNA
Source: RNAcentral
CAGUCGCCGCGGGAAUACGAAGGGUGCAAGCGUUAAUCGGAAUUACUGGGCGUAAAGCGCGCGUAGGUGGUUCAUUAAGUUGGAUGUGAAAGCCCUGGGCUCAACCUGGGAACUGCAUCCAAAACUGGUGAGCUAGAGUACGGUAGAGGGUAGUGGAAUUUCCUGUGUAGCGGUGAAAUGCGUAGAUAUAGGAAGGAACACCAGUGGCGAAGGCGACUACCUGGACUGAUACUGACACUGAGGUGCGAAAGCGUGGGGAGCAAACAGGAUUAGAUACCCGCGUAGUCCCUGUCUCUUAUAA